Molecule: long non-coding RNA, 1095 nt
Filed under: Pavo cristatus (Indian peafowl)
Lineage: Eukaryota; Metazoa; Chordata; Aves; Galliformes; Phasianidae
Description: lncRNA (ENSPSTG00000011375.1)
Source: RNAcentral
UCUCUCCUGCCGCUGUUUCGGAGCGGUGUUUACUACGGGGACGCGGGGCCCGAGCCGCCCGAGCCCUCCCGGCCCCUCCGCCCGCGGCCGCCGGAGCCCUUCCCCGGCCCCUCCCGUUCCCUCCCGGCCCUUCCCCGCCGCGGGGCGGCGGCGGCCGCGCUUUGUACGCGGGGACGGCGACGACGCCGGGGCCGGUUCCCCCCAACCCCCCGCCCGCCCGCCGGGCCCUGCGGCAGCGCGGGACCGCUUACCUGCUGCUUCCCCUCGGUGGUGCGCGGGGCCGGGCAGCGCCGCUCGGAGGCACCGCGGAGGUUUCCUCGCCGCGAACCGAGCGCGGCGCCCGCCGCCCGCCCGCCCUUCGGCAGCCCCCGGUCCGGGCCGGACAAACGCGGAGACGGCGCUGAGGGGCGCCCGCCGCCCUCCGGCCCCGCGGAGCAGCACGCGCAGGGACCGCCGCCGCCGCAAGUUUGGCGCCGCGGCCGCACUUCGCGCCGCUCCCCCCGCCCCCACCUCCGCCCCUCCGCCGGGCUCCGGCAGCGGCCGAGCUCCCGCGGCGCGGAGCCGAGCGGCCGCGGCCCGCCGAGCGCUGCGAGCGGAGGACCGGAGAGCGGGGCGGAGGCGGCGGCGCCGCGGCGUGGAGAGCGGAGCGGGCCCGGGGGCGCGUGCGUCCCUGCGCGGCGCAAGCGGGCCCGCGUGCUGCGCGGCCGCUGCCCCUCACUCACACAUGUGUUACUGACAGAGCAGAAUCCCAACUACACUCCGGCCCGGCCCCGCCGCCCGCCCGCCGCAGCCAAUCCGCCCCCGGCUUGUUCAGGCGGAAUAAUAAAACCUGCCAAUCCCGGGGAAGACAAAGGAAUGAGUGAAAGAGGAGGAAAAAAAAAAAAAAAAAAAAAAAAAGAGAGAGAGAGAGCGAGCGAGGGAGAAGGGGGGGGCAGAGAGGAGGAGGGGAAUGGAAGGGAAGGAGGGAGUCAGGUGGGAAGCGGCGCCCGCCGCCCCCGCCCGGCGCUGAGGAGCGGCGCCCGCGGCCGUGAGGGCACCGCACUGCUGGCGGCAGUCGCGGCACCGCGCCCCGCUCCGCUCGCGGCCACCAGUUGA